UUUCAUGCCAGGCCAGUAGACGAAUCUGCCUUGUGGAGUAGAUGUGAUUGUCAGGCCUUGCUGUGGACCUGAUAAAGGAAUCUCCUCGUCCAGAUCCGAGUAGUAGUCGAGGUCCUCGAUCGAAUCCAAGUCGGAUUGUGAUCUGGACAGGGAAGCUUGGUAGAUGGUGCCCGCAUUUCAGAGUCCGAACGGGAACUAACUUGUAUCAUAGACCGAUUCGCACGAUAGCUCAAGCGCCAGCUUGUGAG
This 248-nucleotide long non-coding RNA is filed under the name Setaria italica (foxtail millet). RNAcentral's name for it is "long non-coding RNA (SITA_LNC005117)". Lineage: Eukaryota; Viridiplantae; Streptophyta; Magnoliopsida; Poales; Poaceae. The record is from RNAcentral.